Molecule: long non-coding RNA, 1031 nt
Filed under: Sus scrofa (pig)
Lineage: Eukaryota; Metazoa; Chordata; Mammalia; Artiodactyla; Suidae
Description: lncRNA (ENSSSCG00005006633.1)
Source: RNAcentral
GGUAUAUCUUUCCAUCUAUUUGUGUCGUCUUUGAUUUCUUUCAUCAGUGUCUUAUAGUUUUCAGAGUACAGGUCUUUUGUCUCUUUAGGUAGGUUUACUCCUAGGUAUUUUAUUCUUUUGGAUGCGAUGGUAAACAGGAUUGGUUCCCUUGUUUCUCUUUCUGCUCUUUGUUAGUAUAUAGAAAUGCAGUCAAUUUCUGUGUGUUAAUUUUGUAUCCUGCAACUUUGCCAAAUUCAUGGAUGAGCUCUAACAGUUUUCUGGUAGAGUCUUUAGGAUUCUCUAGGUAAAGGAUCAUGUCAUCUGCAAAUAGUGAGAAUUUUCUUCCUUUCCAACUUGGAUUCUUUUUAUUUCUUCUACUUCUCUGAUUGCUGUGGCUAGGACUUCCAAAACUAUGUUGAAUAGCAGUGGCGAGGGUGGACAUCCUUGUCUUGUUCCUGAUCUCAGCAGGGAUGCUUUCAGCUUUUCACCAUUGGGAAUGAUGUUAGCUGCGGGUUUGUCAUAUACGGCCUUUAUUAUGUUGAGGUAGAUUCACUCUGUGCCCACUUUCUGAAGGGUUUUUUUUUUUUAUCAGAAAUGGGUGUUGGAUUUUGUCAAAGGCUUUUUUGUGUCUGUUGAGAGGAUCAUAUGGUUUUUAUUCUUCACAGUGUGUUAAUGUGGUGUAUCACACUGAUGGAUUUGCGGAUAUUGAAGAACCCUUGCACAAAUGAUAAAUUCCACCUGAUCAUGAUGUACAAUCCUUUUAAUGUAUUGUUGGAUGUGGUUCAUUAGUAUUUUGUUAAGGAUUUUUGUAUGUAUGUUCAUCAGUGAAAUUGGCCUAUAAUUUUCUUUUUGUUGUUGUUGUUGUGGUAUCUUUGUCUGGUUUUGGUGUCAGGGUGAUGGUGGCCUCAUAGAAUGAGUUUGGGUGUGUCCCUUUCUCUGCAUUUUUUUGGAAUAGUUUCAGAAGGAUAGGUGUUAGCUCUUCUCUAAAUGUUUGAUGGAAUUCGCCUGUGAAGCCAUCUGGUCCUGGACUUUUGUUUGUUGGAGGUUUUUUU